RNAcentral lists this long non-coding RNA (1935 nucleotides) under Mytilus galloprovincialis (Mediterranean mussel). The record is from RNAcentral. Lineage: Eukaryota; Metazoa; Mollusca; Bivalvia; Mytilida; Mytilidae.
UUUAUGUCCAGUAUUUAUCCACGUACUAUAAAUGUCAAUGUCAUUGUAAAAUCGGUCAGGGUAGUUUUCAUCAACUACGUUGUAAAAUUUCCAUAGUUAUGUGAGCGUGUUUGUAGUAUAUAUAGGAUAACUUACUGUGAAAUUUUAGAAAAAAAAUAUAUGUAUCAAAUAUGUCUUAUGUCAGUACAACUUCCAAUGGUAAUGUUACAAUACUAGACAGACAAGAGGUUCGCCUUGUUGACGGUUACGAUAUACCUGUUUAUGGAAUUAGUGACGGAACUUUUUACAUAGUUCAUAUUCCAGCUAUAACAUGUAUAUGCAUCAGUUUCUUAUGUGCAGUAGCAGUAAUUGGGUAUUCUUUCUAUCACCAAAAAUGUUCUACGUUCUUCCAAUGGACUAAAAGUGAAAGAUUUGUUGUGUACAUGGCACUAUGUGAUGCUUUGUUUAACAUUUCACAUUUUUGUGAUCACACACACAUUGUUGUUACAAAAUCUUUCCCAAUGCCGAAAUCUCUAUGUGCAUUUUACGGAUUCAUAUUAGCAGAAUUCGUAACAGCUCAAAACUUAAUGGUCAAUAUUGUUGCAAUAAAUGUGUUUGUAUUAAUAUAUUUUCGAAAACAGAUAGAUUUCGGUCGAUGGGAUUAUCGACUUUUGGUAUAUGUUUUCGGUGUUCCUGCAGUAGGAGCUACGAUUGCAGCUACGCUUGGAAAAUUUGGUCCGAGUGGAGCAUUGUAAGUGCUUUUUUUUUCUUCAAACUAGUAUUUCAAAUAAUAACCACACAAUUUAACAUUCGUUAAAUGAAAUUGUAAAUAUUCCUUUAUGAAUCAUUUUCGAAUUGCAUUUUUUUGUUAUCAAAGAUCUUGAGCCCUGAUUAAAAUAGAGUAUUUAAAAGUAACUUAAACAUUCAGUUUAUUGAAUCGGGUUUACGUAUAUUCAGGUAUGGCUUUAUAUCUGUUAAAUCUAGUAUGAACUGCCUUUGUUUAGGAUAUAAAAAUAAGAAAAUAAUUGCAAUGAGGUUGCUAUGUUCCAUUAUAGCAAAAUCGAUCAAAUCUUUAACAUUAAAGUGACAUUAGUUCAUUAAGCUGUUUUGUUUGAUUUUUUAAUUAAAUAUAAUUAACAAGGUUUAUUUUUAUUCUAGUUGUUACAUCGACGCAGUUAAAGGGCAAAUGACAUAUAUUUUCUUCACGACAGUACCUUUACUACUCAUAUUAGUGAGUAAUACAGUCAUGUAUGUAGUCAGUUGGUUCCGAAUAUAUACAGAAACACGUGAAAUCAAGAGCUCGCUUGGAAAAUCAUCAAGAGCUAUACGAGCAUCACAUAAAGCUGCAAAAACUAUGUCUUUGUUUGUAACUGCAUUCUUUGUCCAAUGGUGGGCUCUUGCUGUUUAUGGCUUAUUGCAGCUGAUAGGAAGCGUACCAGCAAUUAUGGUAAAUCUUACCACAACAUUUUCAAACAUUGGUGGUCUUUUAAAUGGAAUUGUGUUUAUUUUUAUAAUACGAAGGAAAAGAGAGAAAUCAGAAGAGAAAGGAUCAAAUGAUAAAGCAGGGUCCGGCGGUACGACUAGUUCACAUAUCAAUUAUAAGGUUCAUUCGACAAAUACACAAAGUACCGUUUGAAUUGUUGAACUCAAUAUAACAUAUCUAUGCUAUUACGUUUUAAAUUGUUUAAUUUCUAUAUUAUCUGGGUUUUUUUCUUUGUUGAAAUAUAAUAUUUAAUAAAAUCGGAAAUACUCUUUUGAUAUAAAUUGCAAACUCUCUUGCAAAUACAGCAUGAUAUAAUGACCAAUCUUUAACAUUUGGGCUGAUACAUUUCAAAACUUAUAUUUUCUGAUACUUUAUAUUUUUAAAGAGAAAUUUUGAAACGCAUUUAUUAAGCUAUAAGAAGAUGUUGGAUAUGCAUGAAUAAGACAGCAACCAUCGAAAAUAGCAUGAAGGCA